ACCCGCCACGCCUCGCCGCCAGCUGCGCUCCAUCGCCGUUCCGUCAACGCUGCAUCCCGUCGCGUCCGUCGUCGCCAUUUCCAAGCGUCGUCGUCAAAUCGCCAAGGGAGAGAGAGAGACGCGAUGAAGGUGAGAAAGAGGAGCUAGCGUCGCUGUCGAACUGUUACGGAGCCACCGGAGCCGUCGCGUCGCCGUUGUGUCUUGCCUCUAUCGUCGCCGUGAAUCGCGAACAGAGGAGACCGAGAGACCAAGAGGGAAGAGGCGAUGAACGAAGCCGUCACUGAAGCCUUGCCCGUCGCUGCCAGAGGCGUGGAGGAAGGGAGGCAGAACCGCGAGAUAGAGGAGCCACUGUGACUGUCGUUGCUGCCGCGGGUGUGGUCUGCCGUCGAGCUGCACGCCGCCACUGCCGUCGGAAACCGCCGUUAGAAUCGCUACUGUUUUGUGGUUGUCGUAAGUUACGUUGCCGCUGCCGUUACUGGAGGUAGUUGCUGGUUCUGUUUGAAGAUUGCUGCUACUACUGGAAUCCCCCCAAAUCGGAGAGGAGAGGAGGCGUUUAACCUCGUCGCUGUUGCUGCCAUGGAACAGGUGCUGGAAACUACUAACGGAGCAGGCUGAGUCACAGUGAUUCUGGCUGCCAAGGACGGUUCUGUGGCUGUCGGAACCACCGCUGAAGGUUCUGUCCUUUGGUUCAGUCAGUAUUCUUUGGUUACAGAUUAAGUUAUUGGGGCCACAUGUUGCGAGUAAGGGUUGUUUCUGCUACUGCAAAAGUGAGCGAAGCUGUGAUUCCAGCUACCGGUAAUUUCGGGUUGAGAGAGAAGGUUCCUGUGACGCGUUUGGUUUAUGUGUUCGACGAGUCGAGGAUAUGGGCGUUGAAGUCACCAAGAGUUUACCUAGUUGUUGUCGUGAUGUUUUGUGUUGCCUUAGUUAUUAUCUAUUAUUACCUUGCCUUUAUCUUUAUACAUUCUGUAAGAGGGAUAGGAAUUAUAUUAGUUAAUGCUUGCAAAACUA
This is a long non-coding RNA of Arachis ipaensis, 1008 nucleotides long. RefSeq lists it as uncharacterized. NCBI's taxonomy places the organism in Eukaryota, Viridiplantae, Streptophyta, Magnoliopsida, Fabales, Fabaceae. The record is from RefSeq and is a predicted model, not a curated record.